UUCGUGUAUAUUUGGUUUCGUGGAUUUGCUAAUAUCAGCAUAUAAAGCCUGUAGAAAAAGUAGUCUUUCGUUGAACAUCUAAUUUGUUGAACACCUUAGCCUACGAAACAUACAGAAAUUGAUGUCCAACGAAUAAUAAUGAUUCCAAAAGUAAUAAUAAAGAAAACACAUAUUAUAUGUCAAUUUCAAAAGUCUUUUUUUACCCCCACUUUUCAUCGAGAUAUUUUCUGAAUUUUCGAUACAUAAUAUAGCUUUCUUUGAAAAACUGUUGUAACAAUGUAUUGUUUAAAACUGUCCUAAUAUCUUUAGGCGGUACUUUAAAAUAUAUAUGAAUCUAAAUCGCUAUGGGCGUGCUAAUCGCUAACCCGUUAAUGUACAAUAGUUUGACGUUCCGUGGCAAUAUCGAUAUCAGCCCUCCAAAUUAUACCUAGCCCCCAAAUUUAUUUUCCGGUAACUAGUCAAUAAAAAACUAUUUGUUAAAAAGAUGUCAUCUGAGGCAGCCAGACAAACAGGAGCAAUUUCUCCCAGUUUCAAAUGACGAUGCAAGUAAAUUCAUACAAGAAUCCGUACGGUGAGUUAUAUUUGUUAAUUUCUGUGUCAUGGAGAGUUAUCUUAUUGGCAAUCAUACCACAUAUUAUUUUUUUUAUGAUCACAAACUUUCCCGUAAAAUGUUGACGUUAUAAUUGGAAAUAUAUGACGCCACAAUGAAAAAGUGAUCAUCAUACAGGUUUUUUGAGUUUUUUUUUUAAAAUAUUCAACAUAAUUUGAUAGAUGCUUUUUUAUCCAGCUUGAAAUAUGUGAUAAAUAGAUUAAUACAUG
This 819-nucleotide long non-coding RNA is filed under the name Mytilus galloprovincialis (Mediterranean mussel). Lineage: Eukaryota; Metazoa; Mollusca; Bivalvia; Mytilida; Mytilidae. The record is from RNAcentral.